RNA transcript from Argentina anserina (silverweed cinquefoil), 2592 nucleotides. RefSeq lists it as uncharacterized. NCBI's taxonomy places the organism in Eukaryota, Viridiplantae, Streptophyta, Magnoliopsida, Rosales, Rosaceae. The record is from RefSeq and is a predicted model, not a curated record. The transcript is spliced from 10 exons.
UGGUUUUGGGGAAGAGGACGGUGGAGGGAGAAAAAGGAAAGGAGAAGAGAAGAAAGUAGAGAGGAAAAAGAAAAAUGAAGGAAGGAGGUAGGAGGAGAAAACAGAGGUGAGCUGUAGAGUUUGGGUUCUCGUGAGCGAGAUCGGGUUGAGUUCUGUGGAAAGGCAAAGAGGGGUUAGUUGAAGUGAAAGGGCUUGGCCCUCGGAUGGUUCUGUCCUUGGUUUGUGACAGUUAAAUAUCAGAGAACAUGGGACAAGAAGUAAUCAAGAAGUUAAAGGUGAUCAAUGGGAACACAUUACCAGUUGGAUAUGGGAGUCCUAAGGGUGAUGCUGGGCAUGUAGUCCUUGGGUCAUCAAAGAGGUCCAUUUUUCAAGCACAGGGAAAGCUUUGCAGACCAUUUGUUAAUUUGGGCCAAGAUGUAACAAAUAGGUUAAAGUUCAAGUUAAAGCGAAUGGAAAUGCGAGCACUGGGAUAUGAGAGUUCCAAGGAUGAUGCUAGGCAGGUAGUCCUUGAAGCAUCAAAUAGGGGCAGUUCUCUUCAAGCGCCGGAAAAGCAUGGCAAAAUAUUGGACAGUACGGGCCUAGAUGGGCGUGCAGUACCAGUUGGAUUGGACAGCUCCAAUGAUGAUGCCACACACCCUGUCCUUAAGGCAUCAAAGAGCUUUCUUCAAGCACAUGAAAAGCUUUCUGAAAAAUUGGACAAUUUGGGCCAAGAUCUAACAAAAAAGUUAAAGGUCAAGUUAAAGUUAAAAAAGGGAUUCCACGGUUGUGCAGUACCAGUUCUAGAUGAUGGUCUCAAGAGUGAUCCUGGAAACCUAGUCUUUGAGGCAUCAAAGAGUUUCGAACAUAGUAUCGGCGGUUUGAUUGAUGGGGAUGGAACCACUAAAGUAGAUCGGCAUACUCAGAUGGACGCCAAGUUGAUCAAGCCGAGAUUUGUACGGAUAUCUGUCACGGAUGGUGAUGCAACAGAGUCCUCCAGUGAUGAAGAGGCUGAGCCCUUGGCCACUUGUCACCGAGUCAAGAAGUUCAUCAAUGAGAUUAUGAUUGAGUCGUCCCCCAACAAAAAUGAUAGUGGUGUUUGGAGGAGCAGGACAACAAGGAUGUGGCAGAAGAAGAUGGGCGGAAAAUCUGGACUUCCAGCUACUUGCCAAAUGUUGAAGGCGCAGAUAACCUGGAAGAAGUUCUGUGGUGCAAAGGCACGGGCAAACAAGAACAAGUUCCUAGGAGUGAGGCAGAGACCCUGGGGAAAAUGGGCAGCCGAGAUUAGAGAGCCUCAUAGUGGAAGACGACUCUGGUUGGGUACAUUUGAUACGGCUGAGGAUGCAGCUAUGGUGUACGACAAAGCAGCCGUCCUGCUGCGUGGACCUGACACUUUCACCAACUUCAGCACACCUCAGGUGGCAAAUGAGGAAGGCAAUCUGUAAUUGGAGGAGAUGUUUCAGACUUGUGACAACGAUUUGUCUACGCGUAAGUAUGUAGUGUGCAGCCAAAAUUAUAGACACAGUGGGGACUGGAAAAUCAACGAUGAAAGGGCAGACCAAAGACUACAUUGUACUCGAUGUUCAAGUGGAGUUGUUCGUGAAGAUGAAAUCUUUCUUUAUAUGUGCUGUCGACUACCAGAGUGCUGAGUUCUAUGUCAAGAAUUCAAGAUCAAGGUGAAAUUGGUCUCUUAAUUCUUUGAACAAUUGCUCUCGAUGAUGUGACUGCUGGAUACAUGGUGUAUUGUGGCAUAUUAGACAUAGAGCACACUGAUCAAUGGACUUUCUCCUCAAAACAGGUCUUCUGUUUUUUUCCCAUCUCUAUUCCAACAUUUUGCGCACAGAUUUUACAUUAAGAUAUACAGAAUGGAGUGAAGAAAUCUACUGGUAAUAAUGAAUUACAUAGUUUAAAUGAGAAUACUGAAGACAUUAAUGUGGUAAUAGUUGAUGAGAGAGUUGGGAUGAGAAUAGCGCGUCUAAAUGAAUACUUGCUCAAUUGGAAAAUAACUGGUGUUCCUCUUCAAAAUGUAGUGGACUAUUACAUACUAUAACACUUCUAAUCCUAUCCAAGUAAGUAAAAUAGCAGUUUAUUUCCUUAAGCAGUCAUUACUUGUCAAUUUCUACGAAAGGUAAGGUAAUGACAUAGCGGUAGUACUUCUAUCAUAAUGAACAGAAAACUAAGGAUCUUUCAAAAUGAGAAGCCAGGGACAAAUAAAUACUUGGUGGUUGGUACUUUAAAACCUAUUCAAGCUGGUUGUUUCUUUCUCCUCAGUCCUCACUGUGGUAUACAGUAUUAAUAUUGAUGAUGAGUUUGGUGAUGUUCUUAUUAAAACGAGUCUCAUGUCAGGAGCUAUUAUGUCCAACUGCUUGAUCUAACUGGCCUCAAAAGUAUUACUACAGCAGAUAAGGAAGGGAAGGCCAAUUGCUUACAACAUUGCCUUGGAUGAUCUCCCUUUGAUCGUGGCAGAACAGACGGUUUUGGUUUUGUUUUCUGCUGAAAAUUAGAUUGAAGAGUGAUGUUAAAUUGAUAUGCUAUAUUCAAAGAGUUGGGAUUCUUAUGGUUUGUAUGAUAUUCUGAUAUAUUGUACAGGUUAUAGCGUAUUGAUUAUUUUCUCUC